RNAcentral lists this ribosomal RNA (600 nucleotides) under uncultured bacterium. RNAcentral's name for it is "bacterial SSU rRNA". It matches the Rfam family "Bacterial small subunit ribosomal RNA", at positions 45 to 641 of the family's 1533-position model. The record is from RNAcentral.
AGCCUAACACAUGCAAGUCGAACGGUAACAGGAAGUGCUUGCACUUCGCUGACGAGUGGCGGACGGGUGAGUAAUGCUUGGGAACAUGCCCUUGUGAGGGGGAUAACAGUUGGAAACGACUGCUAAUACCGCAUAACGUCUUAGGACCAAAGGGGGGUUUAGGCCUCUCGCACAAAGAGUGGCCCAAGUGAGAUUAGCUAGUUGGUGAGGUAAAGGCUCACCAAGGCGACGAUCUCUAGCUGUUCUGAGAGGAAGAUCAGCCACACUGGGACUGAGACACGGCCCAGACUCCUACGGGAGGCAGCAGUGGGGAAUAUUGCACAAUGGGGGAAACCCUGAUGCAGCCAUGCCGCGUGUGUGAAGAAGGCCUUCGGGUUGUAAAGCACUUUCAGACGUGAGGAAAGGGUGGUGGUUAAUACCCAUCAUCUGUGACGUUAGCGUCAGAAGAAGCACCGGCUAACUCCGUGCCAGCAGCCGCGGUAAUACGGAGGGUGCGAGCGUUAAUCGGAAUUACUGGGCGUAAGCGCACGCAGGCGGUUUGUUAAGCUAGAUGUGAAAGCCCCGGGCUCAACCUGGGAUGGUCAUUUAGAACUGGCAAAC